This 253-nucleotide ribosomal RNA is filed under the name uncultured bacterium. RNAcentral describes it as "partial 16S ribosomal RNA". It matches the Rfam family "Bacterial small subunit ribosomal RNA", at positions 524 to 776 of the family's 1533-position model. The record is from RNAcentral.
UACGAAGGGGGCGAGCGUUGUUCGGAUUUACUGGGCGUAAAGGGCGCGCAGGCGGCUCAUUUUGUCAGGCGUGAAAGCCCCGGGCUUAACCUGGGAACUGCGUUUAAUACGGAUGGGCUAGAGUUCGGGAGAGGAGAGUGGAAUUCCCAGUGUAGAGGUGAAAUUCGUAGAUAUUGGGAAGAACACCGGUGGCGAAGGCGGCUCUCUGGACCGAUACUGACGCUGAGGCGCGAAAGCGUGGGGAGCAAACAGG